Molecule: non-coding RNA, 1783 nt
Organism: Equus caballus (horse)
Lineage: Eukaryota; Metazoa; Chordata; Mammalia; Perissodactyla; Equidae
Source: RefSeq, a predicted model, not a curated record
UUGUGUUUUUUUUGUUGUUUGGAACAUAUUCUUCAUUUUUCUUGACUCUGUGUUAGUUUCUGGGCAUUAGAUAAAACAACUUCUCCCAGCCUUGAUGGAGUAGGCUCAUGAGGAGACGAACCUUAUCAUUCAGUCUAUCAAGUUCUUGUUUGUCUCACAAACCUUUGUGAUUGUCCAAGCUGCCCUCUUUGUUCUUAGUGGCUCCCAGUAGUUGAGGGUCCACCAAGACCUGCCAGUGUUCCAAGGAGGAGGACCUCAGUCAGCACCUCAAUGCAGGCUGAUUGGAAACUGGGCCCUCAGGCAGCAGCCUUUAAAGUAUGUGAAUAGACCUCUUUCAGGGAAAGACUGGGAGAUGGGUGCCAGCUUCCUCUGUGCUGAGCCCUGGGUGGAGCCAUGGGAUAGCAAGUUGAGAACUUUUUGUUUACUACAGUCCUGUGGAGCCCACAAACACAAGCCCUGCUGGCCACCAGAGCCAGACAAUCAAGGGUACAUUCUCUGGGCAUGUGCACAAGCUCCUUCCAGGGAGACACCAGCAGCCUGAAGUGGGCUGGAGGAAGAAUGCAGAGAUGGCACUCACUGGCCUCCCCCAUCUCCAGGGAGGAUCACAGUCUCCAGGUGUGUGCUGAAUUAGGAGACUAACUCUCAGGCUGCAGCUUUUAAGAUAUGCAAAUCGGCGUCCUUCAGGGAAAGACUGGGAGAUGGGUGUUUCUGUCUGCUGCCUCUGCACUGAAUUCUGGGAGGACAGCCACAGUGAGUCCUCAUGAGCCCGUUAAAAACUGUUUCUUUCCUUGCUGUGGUCUUAUGGGUCUCAUGGACACAAGCCCUGUUGGCUUUCAGAGCUUUGGGGCCGGCCUUCAGGUGGAAGUGUUAAAAGUUGCAGCACUAGAUGUUGGGUCCAAACCCCUCACUCGUCAGGAAGCCGUGAGUUGUGCCUUCCCUCCCAGGUGUAUCUCACUGAGCUGGGGGUGGGGUUUAUGGCAAGUGUGUGUCUCAGCUUCUCCUACCCAUCUCAACGUGGGAAUUUUCUUGUUUGCCCAAAAUGUACGAGUCACUCAGCUAGUUUCUGAAUUUCUUUCAGGGGGAAUUGCUCUGUGUGUAGCUAGAGAUUUGGUGUCCAUGGGAACAGGAACUAAAUGCUGGUGCCCACCACCCUCAGGCUGACUGAGCAGAGACCUGCCUCCUCUGUGUUCUGGCUGUCGGCGUAGCCUUCGGUAAAUGGUCAAUGCAGGGUCAAGAAAGGUUCAAGAUCCUCUGUUUUGUAAGGCCGACUCUUUCUGUGGUGACAUUUAAUUAAACAGAAGUAAAGGGGGACUCGGUACCAUUGAGUUUUAGGGUUAACAACAUAAUCUAGCUGGUUUUGGGGAAAUGUGAGGUGAAGUGAAGGGGUUACAAAUAAGGAUAACGACUUCAUUUUCAUCCUAGUUUUAUUUACAGCUUGCUUUCAGUAGCUUGCUCUGUAACACGUAUGUUUACUUCCUUCUUAAGCCAGAUCAUUGAAAGUGACUUUUCACAUGAGAAGAAAGGCAAUAUGAAGCUUCAUUUGAAAUUUUUUUCCAGAAAGGAUAUUUAAACAAGGCUGAGUGAAUUAGGAGAACCAUUUUAUUGAUGGUCUAAGUUUAAAACUACUUCAAAUACAUGUAUUUUCAUACUUUGUAUUUUUAAAGUGUUUUUCAGGCGGUGAUUAUUUUAAAACCAUAUUGACUUAAAUCUCGCAAAACUGAUGGAGUGAGUCUGUGUAUAUCAUAUCCAUUUCAGAAAGAGAAUAAAAAGAAAUGUUAAGUGA